GCAUUUGAAAAACUUCACUGCCCAGAAGCAGAUGGCCAAGUUAUUGUGAUUGAAGGCAUUCCAGGAAACAGGAAACAGUGGCGGCAUGAAGCUCCAGGAACUUUAAUGAGUGUUUUGGCAGCAGCACAUCUAACGAGUAGCUCAUUUUCUGCCGAUGAAGAAUUUGCAAUGGGAACAUUAAAACAAUGGCUACCCAAAGAAGAAGAUGAAGGGAAGGUAGAAAUGGUCUCUGG
Molecule: long non-coding RNA, 233 nt
Filed under: Homo sapiens (human)
Lineage: Eukaryota; Metazoa; Chordata; Mammalia; Primates; Hominidae
Description: HSALNT0373453
Source: RNAcentral